UGGGAACGCUCGGUAAUUUAGAUAGGUGAGGAGUGGGUCGAGACGUGGGUCUUAUGGUGCGAAAGAAAAGAGAUGAACCCGAUGGGGGUGUUGAUGACAUAGGAAGUAGUGGAUAUUGUUAAAGAACACGAGUGGCAUCCGAACGAUAAAUGAUGACGAGUGGCAUUAAUGUAGUGUAAAUAAUGUUAAGGAUUUUAUAGGUUGGCGAAUUUCGUAAAGUUGUUUGGAGUCUUGAAGAGUUGAUCGCAGAAGUUUUUGAGAAGAGAUUCAAAUUGGAGGACGAAGACUCAUUCGGAAAGAUCGACACCUAAGGUAUGAAGAUAAGAUCAUUUGUGGUGAAGAUACAUAAUUAGAAUAAGUUCAGAAGGCUUAGAUUGUUUUAAAACAACUUUUCUGAACUUUCAUGUGUUCUGGGACCGGUCUCUG
Molecule: long non-coding RNA, 426 nt
Filed under: Ananas comosus (pineapple)
Lineage: Eukaryota; Viridiplantae; Streptophyta; Magnoliopsida; Poales; Bromeliaceae
Description: long non-coding RNA (ACOM_LNC036586)
Source: RNAcentral